UGGGGAAUAUUGCACAAUGGGCGCAAGCCUGAUGCAGCGACGCCGCGUGAGGGAUGACGGCCUUCGGGUUGUAAACCUCUUUCAGUACCGACGAAGCGCAAGUGACGGUAGGUACAGAAGAAGCACCGGCCAACUACGUGCCAGCAGCCGCGGUAAUACGUAGGGUGCGAGCGUUGUCCGGAAUUACUGGGCGUAAAGAGCUCGUAGGCGGUUUGUCGCGUCGUCUGUGAAAACCCGCAGCUCAACUGCGGGCUUGCAGGCGAUACGGGCAGACUUGAGUACUGCAGGGGAGACUGGAAUUCCUGGUGUAGCGGUGAAAUGCGCAGAUAUCAGGAGGAACACCGGUGGGGAAGGCGGGUCUCUGGGCAGUAACUGACGCUGAGGAGCGAAAGCGUGGGUAGCGAACAG
This 408-nucleotide ribosomal RNA is filed under the name uncultured bacterium. RNAcentral's name for it is "bacterial SSU rRNA". It matches the Rfam family "Bacterial small subunit ribosomal RNA", at positions 355 to 775 of the family's 1533-position model. The record is from RNAcentral.